Molecule: non-coding RNA, 72 nt
Organism: Parelaphostrongylus tenuis
Lineage: Eukaryota; Metazoa; Nematoda; Chromadorea; Rhabditida; Metastrongylidae
Source: the annotation of a GenBank genome assembly
GUUAUGAUGGUGCAAUGGUUGGCACGCGUCCCCGGAAAGGGUGGAAUGCGGGUUCGAAUCGCGUUCGUGGCU